UACAGAGGGCGCGAGCGUUGUCCGGAAUCACUGGGCGUAAAGGGCGCGUAGGUGGCGGCAUAAGGCCGUGGUGAAAGUCUGGGGCUCAACCCCAGAUCGGCCAUGGCGACUGUGUCGCUAGGGUACUGUAGAGGCAGGUGGAAUUCCACGUGUAGCGGUGAAAUGCGUAGAGAUGUGGAGGAACACCAGUGGCGAAGGCGGCUUCUUGGCCUGUUCUUGACGCUGAGGCGCGAAAGCUGGGGGAGCAAACGGG
Molecule: ribosomal RNA, 253 nt
Filed under: uncultured bacterium
Lineage: Bacteria
Description: partial 16S ribosomal RNA
Rfam family: Bacterial small subunit ribosomal RNA
Source: RNAcentral